RNAcentral lists this long non-coding RNA (4493 nucleotides) under Bos grunniens (domestic yak). RNAcentral's name for it is "lncRNA (ENSBGRG00000009105.1)". The record is from RNAcentral. Lineage: Eukaryota; Metazoa; Chordata; Mammalia; Artiodactyla; Bovidae.
AUGGAGCAAGAAGGCAGUUUCCCAUGGUGGCCAUCACACUUCAGAAUUCCACUCUCAGAGCCUCCAGCCACCCCCUUUCUGAGCAGACACGCUUCCUCCUGGAGACGGUCUUCUCUUCGGCCUUUGCUCCACGUAGACGUCCUGCAUCCUGCAGGGAGCAGCAUGAGGUGGCUGCGCUUGGUUCCAGAUGCCCUGGGGGCACCAUGCUGGCAUGUGUCAUCCUGCUGCAGCCUCAGCCUGGGGGUGCCUGGUGCACCGCACGUCAGAGAACGCACCCAGAAGGGCUGCCCUGGGCUCCGUCCCGAGGAUUCAGGGGGUCAGUGCUCAGCGGGCAUCGCUGGAAGGUGCUGUCCUUUAUUAGCACAGUGGUCCCCAACCUUGCUGGCACCAGGGACUGCUUUCGUGGAAGACAACUUUUCCCUGGAUGGUGUGGGUGGGGGAUGGUUUCUGGAUGAUUCACGUGUAUUACAUUUAUUGUGCAGUUAUUACUACAUCAGCUCCACCUCCGAUCAUCAGGCAUUGGACCCCGGAGGUUGGGGACCCUUGCUUCAGCACAAAGCUUCACACAGCGCCAGAGAGGAGGCCACGAGGGCAAGGUGAUCAGUUUUGUGCUCUUCUGAAGAUAAAAGAAGUUCACGUUGUAGACCCAGGCUGAUGGGGCACUGAUUCUGCCCUCAGCCACAGCCACACCCCGACAAGUAUCGACCUGAUUGUAUUGUCUUCUCCUCCAGUCCUGGACUCAACCCACAGUGGGAAGGACUGGCCUAAGCUCCCCGAGACUGAGACCCAUUACACUCAGAUGGCAGGGUGACCACAGAGGCACAGGACCUGGGAAGGCCUGCAGGCUCGCUUGUCCUGUGCCUCGCUGUCCCAGGCCAGGGGCUCUGGACUCUCGGAUGCCCCUGUGAGGAUGUUCGUCCUCCCAGGAGGUGGAAUGGGAAAUACCCCCAUGCCAGGGGGCAGCACCAAAGGCCAAACGCUGGGCUGGGGGACAGAGCGAUGCAAUUACAUCAUCAAUUCUUGUUCUGCAUCAGACCUUAAAAAGAUAAUACAUACAUAACCCAAAAAUGUUUUAGGUCAUUCUUCCAAGGAGUUUGAAAUUCAAGUAAAAUUCUUGUCAAGGCUUUUCAUCCUCAUCUCCAAUAGCCCAUGCUUCUAAACCUGCCACCUCUUGGAAAGAUGGUUUUCUUCUUCCUGAAGAAUUUAUUCAGGGUUCCCAAAUGGAUGUUGCCAAAGGGGCCCUCUGUGAGCUCUGGCUUGUCUGCCAGCCCCAAACCCAGGGCCGUGGGCUGGGAGAGGACGGUCUUCAGAGGAGGGGUGGACAGAAAGGCCUGGGCUGGCAGGGCCCUGCUCCAGCAGCAGCUCAGGCCACCUGCGGCACCAGCUUCGGGCACAAAUCCUUCGUGUUCCUCCAGUCAAUCCCAUGGGUCCUUAAAUGCCCUUAUUCACUGGGCUCCCCACUUCUACCCAAACUGCACAAAAUUCUUGUUUGUUUUCUAGGGGUUUUCACUUAUAACCCCUAAGAGGUGAAGGGCUUAGAAGUCUGAACUGCCCGCCAGCACUGUGUCUCUGACCCGGCCAUCUGGGGGUCACAGUCAGGUUUGGACUGAGCACAGCCUCUGGACUUAGUCCACUGAGACAGUCACGUCUUAGAUGGUUCAGAGCCCACCCAGCCCCUGGGGCUCCCACGGUAGGCUCUGAAAAAGCAACUCUCUCAGCUCAUUCCCUCAGAAGGCUUUACAACAGUAAAUACCUAGACUGACUCUUGUUACUUUUGCAAAUGAUUUUGAAUGUAUAGCUGUCAUAGCUGGUUUCUCAAACGUCAGUAAAGACCUUUGUGCCCCUCCCAUCACACUCCUAUUCUGAAUAUUUCAUUUUCAUUCUACCACCUCAGUAGAAUCUCCAGAUGAGUUUGUGUCUGGCGUGUUUGUACACUUGGUCAUGCGAUCUUCUGUGACACUCGACAUUAUGCCUGAAGUGCGUACAUCCACUCUCUCUCUAUCCGUGUCUAACCAACUGCUUCACCUAGUCACUAUUUUUUCAAACCCAUUUGGUCACUUUUGAGUGUCUCUUUUUGCUGCUCAGGUUUGAUUCCAUUUCCAUUUCUUUAAAUACCUUAUACGCUGUUACUAUGUGUUAUCUAUCUCAUAGCACUGAUAUCUGAAGCUCCUGCGUGGUAAAAUCUACCACCUGGUGUUUCUGCUGAUUUUCAUCUCGUGCAGUCUCUGCAUGUAUUUGGCCAUUUGGGGGUUUCUGUGAGGCUGACUUGCUCAGGGAGCAUCCUCACAGGCGUAAGAUGAUGUUUUUCUCUGGAGCAAAUCUGUUGACUUCUUCCUCUACUGAGGACAUUGUGAAGUGAAAGUCACUCAGUCGUGUCUCUUUGUGAGCCCAUUUGAUUAUACAGUCCAUGGAAUUCUCCAGACCAGAAUACUGAAGUGGGUAGCCUUUCCCUUUUCCAGUGGAUCUUCCCAACCCAGGAAUCGAAUCAGGGUCUCCUGCAUUGCAGGCAGAUUCUUUACCAAUUAAGUGGGCCCACUUAAUUUCUUUAGAUUUCCCCUUGCUCUGUAGACGCGGGCAGAAUUAGUCCCACUCCAGGACCCCACAGUGCAGGAGAGAGACUCUUCUACCCAGAGCUGAGACGGAGACAGCUCAGCGUCCUGUCUUACUGUGAGAAGGGCCUCCUUCUCAGGUGGGCAGCCCUCUCUAUGCGAGGUCUCAGCUGAGCUGCCCCCAGUGCACACACCCAGGGCCUGGUCUCUCGCUUCUUUCUGUGCUGGAAUACUGGUACCGUAGAGCACUGCUAGUAGAGAGUACUCAUAACACAGGGUAUUGGUGUCAGCACGUGACCCGGAAGGUCCGUAUUUCUGUCCAUUCUGCCGCCAGCAGCUCGUUAGGUGUUGUUAUGGGACAAGGCUGCUGUGUGUGUUGUGGGGGGAGGGUGGACAGAGCUGGGACAUUUCCCCGUUUCCUAAGAUGUGUUUUUAGAAGUGUGGUUCUUGCAUUUAAAUGGGCUGUGGGGGCAGUGCUGCAGGAGGCCUUUUGAGAAAUCUCAUAUGCCAUCUGCCAGGAGAAGGAACUGGAAGUCUCAGUAGGAUUUCAGUCUCAGUAGGAUUUCAGUCUCAACCAGAAACUCUGUGGAAGCACCCGUAUGACCCACAAACAUGGGGCCCUUGCUGGGCUGGGCACUUGGCUCAGAUUUCCUCUUUCCCCACGAUGAACUCGCCAUGGGGUCUCUGUACACCAUUUCUCAAAAAGGGCCUCUGUUCAGUGCUGCCCCAACCUCUGCCAGGUUUCUGAACCUGAGUGGCUGUGAGCCCAGGUGCCCUGCUGUGAGCCCAGGAGAUCCCAGCAGAGAAAUCCAUCUCCUGGGCAGCAGCCAAUGACACCCCCGGAAAGAAGGCUGGUUCCCCGACACUGCUGAAGACAUCAGCUCCAUACAUCAGGCUACCUGGCUUCUCCGUGAUGGCGCGUCGGUCAGGUUCCUCUGCAGACACACACGAUGGUGUAGCAAAGCCGAGACACCUCUGCAGAGAAAACCCAAACCCCCAACCUCAGGAGCAGGGGAGCAGGGGAGAAAGGCCUUGGGCUGAUGGCUGGCUUGUCCCCAGACAUCGCAGCAAAGCCUUCCACGCCCUUUCUAGCCAACGCAGCAUGACCACCAAGGAGAUGAUCUUAACAGGAGAUGGCGCUGCCGUUUUCUGAAGAGUGAAUCACAUGUGAACAGCUCCGCAUGGAGAAGAAAUCAAGUGAGGGCCUGGAUACUGAAGGGCAGAACAAGGCUCAGGAGAGGUGCAAGCUCCCCAGGAAGUGGUCUCUCAAUAAAAGCCGCAGGACUGUCCCGAGCAAGCUGUGACUGAGCUGUGACCGAGCCAACAUCAUCAAAGAUGCUUUGUUGUGUGGAUUCUGAGGAUGGUCCACACGUGCUGAAGGGGGCAGAGGAAACCUCCGAGGAGUGUGUCCAAGGUCUGGGCCAGUUAGGAAGCUCCUCCUCUUGGACAGAUGUCCAGAUACAACCUGUGUCCCAAGGGCACAGAGGAGACUGGUGGCUAGAUUCAAACCCUCCAUGGGAAGGACAUUUGGUGAUUCUCACACCUUUGUCCCAGGAUGGGACCAGGCUGAGGAGACCCCAAGAGAACGAGGGUCGCUUCAGUGUCCUGAGGCCACAAGGGCAGUCAGUGUUCAAACCCCAUCUUUGCUUGAAAGCACAGGGUCUCCUAUGUAAGGUCCUGCCUGAACAUCCCAGCACACCAGGAUGAAGGCUGAAGAAGCUGCAGCAAGCACGGCAUUUAAAGAAUUGACACAUGAAAGAUAGAAAACGCAGAAGACGGGAGGUUUUGAAGAAGAUGCGUCUGAAAAAGUUGCUCAAAAGAGGGCCCAAAGAGUGUCUGAAGAAGCCAGUUCCAACGGUUUGAAAAGAACGAUCUCAAGAGAACCGAGGCUCAAAAGAGAUGAUGAAGACAGUCUGGAGGGGACCCUGAGCAGGCACCUGGGGG